GCCGGAGUGGCGGAACUGGUAGACGCGCACGACUCAAAAUCGUGUGGGCUAUGCUCAUGAGAGUUCGAGUCUCUCCUCCGGUACCA
Molecule: transfer RNA, 86 nt
Filed under: Candidatus Komeilibacteria bacterium CG10_big_fil_rev_8_21_14_0_10_41_13
Lineage: Bacteria; Candidatus Komeiliibacteriota
Description: tRNA-Leu
Rfam family: tRNA
About the family: Transfer RNA (tRNA) molecules are approximately 80 nucleotides in length.
Source: RNAcentral